GACUCCAUAGCGCAGUGGUUAGCAUGUCUGCUUUAUACGCAUAAGGUCCUGGGUUCGCGCCCCAGGUGGAGCCA
This is a non-coding RNA of Pteropus alecto (black flying fox), 74 nucleotides long. The record is from Rfam. Lineage: Eukaryota; Metazoa; Chordata; Mammalia; Chiroptera; Pteropodidae.